This 2789-nucleotide ribosomal RNA is filed under the name Escherichia coli. RNAcentral's name for it is "bacterial LSU rRNA". It matches the Rfam family "Bacterial large subunit ribosomal RNA". Lineage: Bacteria; Pseudomonadati; Pseudomonadota; Gammaproteobacteria; Enterobacterales; Enterobacteriaceae. The record is from RNAcentral.
AGCGUACACGGUGGAUGCCCUGGCAGUCAGAGGCGAUGAAGGACGUGCUAAUCUGCGAUAAGCGUCGGUAAGGUGAUAUGAACCGUUAUAACCGGCGAUUUCCGAAUGGGGAAACCCAGUGUGAUUCGUCACACUAUCAUUAACUGAAUCCAUAGGUUAAUGAGGCGAACCGGGGGAACUGAAACAUCUAAGUACCCCGAGGAAAAGAAAUCAACCGAGAUUCCCCCAGUAGCGGCGAGCGAACGGGGAGCAGCCCAGAGCCUGAAUCAGUGUGUGUGUUAGUGGAAGCGUCUGGAAAGGCGCGCGAUACAGGGUGACAGCCCCGUACACAAAAAUGCACAUGCUGUGAGCUCGAUGAGUAGGGCGGGACACGUGGUAUCCUGUCUGAAUAUGGGGGGACCAUCCUCCAAGGCUAAAUACUCCUGACUGACCGAUAGUGAACCAGUACCGUGAGGGAAAGGCGAAAAGAACCCCGGCGAGGGGAGUGAAAAAGAACCUGAAACCGUGUACGUACAAGCAGUGGGAGCACAGAGCAAUCUGUGUGACUGCGUACCUUUUGUAUAAUGGGUCAGCGACUUAUAUUCUGUAGCAAGGUUAACCGAAUAGGGGAGCCGAAGGGAAACCGAGUCUUAACUGGGCGUUAAGUUGCAGGGUAUAGACCCGAAACCCGGUGAUCUAGCCAUGGGCAGGUUGAAGGUUGGGUAACACUAACUGGAGGACCGAACCGACUAAUGUUGAAAAAUUAGCGGAUGACUUGUGGCUGGGGGUGAAAGGCCAAUCAAACCGGGAGAUAGCUGGUUCUCCCCGAAAGCUAUUUAGGUAGCGCCUCGUGAAUUCAUCUCCGGGGGUAGAGCACUGUUUCGGCAAGGGGGUCAUCCCGACUUACCAACCCGAUGCAAACUGCGAAUACCGGAGAAUGUUAUCACGGGAGACACACGGCGGGUGCUAACGUCCGUCGUGAAGAGGGAAACAACCCAGACCGCCAGCUAAGGUCCCAAAGUCAUGGUUAAGUGGGAAACGAUGUGGGAAGGCCCAGACAGCCAGGAUGUUGGCUUAGAAGCAGCCAUCAUUUAAAGAAAGCGUAAUAGCUCACUGGUCGAGUCGGCCUGCGCGGAAGAUGUAACGGGGCUAAACCAUGCACCGAAGCUGCGGCAGCGACGCUUAUGCGUUGUUGGGUAGGGGAGCGUUCUGUAAGCCUGCGAAGGUGUGCUGUGAGGCAUGCUGGAGGUAUCAGAAGUGCGAAUGCUGACAUAAGUAACGAUAAAGCGGGUGAAAAGCCCGCUCGCCGGAAGACCAAGGGUUCCUGUCCAACGUUAAUCGGGGCAGGGUGAGUCGACCCCUAAGGCGAGGCCGAAAGGCGUAGUCGAUGGGAAACAGGUUAAUAUUCCUGUACUUGGUGUUACUGCGAAGGGGGGACGGAGAAGGCUAUGUUGGCCGGGCGACGGUUGUCCCGGUUUAAGCGUGUAGGCUGGUUUUCCAGGCAAAUCCGGAAAAUCAAGGCUGAGGCGUGAUGACGAGGCACUACGGUGCUGAAGCAACAAAUGCCCUGCUUCCAGGAAAAGCCUCUAAGCAUCAGGUAACAUCAAAUCGUACCCCAAACCGACACAGGUGGUCAGGUAGAGAAUACCAAGGCGCUUGAGAGAACUCGGGUGAAGGAACUAGGCAAAAUGGUGCCGUAACUUCGGGAGAAGGCACGCUGAUAUGUAGGUGAAGCGACUUGCUCGUGGAGCUGAAAUCAGUCGAAGAUACCAGCUGGCUGCAACUGUUUAUUAAAAACACAGCACUGUGCAAACACGAAAGUGGACGUAUACGGUGUGACGCCUGCCCGGUGCCGGAAGGUUAAUUGAUGGGGUUAGCGCAAGCGAAGCUCUUGAUCGAAGCCCCGGUAAACGGCGGCCGUAACUAUAACGGUCCUAAGGUAGCGAAAUUCCUUGUCGGGUAAGUUCCGACCUGCACGAAUGGCGUAAUGAUGGCCAGGCUGUCUCCACCCGAGACUCAGUGAAAUUGAACUCGCUGUGAAGAUGCAGUGUACCCGCGGCAAGACGGAAAGACCCCGUGAACCUUUACUAUAGCUUGACACUGAACAUUGAGCCUUGAUGUGUAGGAUAGGUGGGAGGCUUUGAAGUGUGGACGCCAGUCUGCAUGGAGCCGACCUUGAAAUACCACCCUUUAAUGUUUGAUGUUCUAACGUGGACCCGUAAUCCGGGUUGCGGACAGUGUCUGGUGGGUAGUUUGACUGGGGCGGUCUCCUCCUAAAGAGUAACGGAGGAGCACGAAGGUUGGCUAAUCCUGGUCGGACAUCAGGAGGUUAGUGCAAUGGCAUAAGCCAGCUUGACUGCGAGCGUGACGGCGCGAGCAGGUGCGAAAGCAGGUCAUAGUGAUCCGGUGGUUCUGAAUGGAAGGGCCAUCGCUCAACGGAUAAAAGGUACUCCGGGGAUAACAGGCUGAUACCGCCCAAGAGUUCAUAUCGACGGCGGUGUUUGGCACCUCGAUGUCGGCUCAUCACAUCCUGGGGCUGAAGUAGGUCCCAAGGGUAUGGCUGUUCGCCAUUUAAAGUGGUACGCGAGCUGGGUUUAGAACGUCGUGAGACAGUUCGGUCCCUAUCUGCCGUGGGCGCUGGAGAAUUGAGGGGGGCUGCUCCUAGUACGAGAGGACCGGAGUGGACGCAUCACUGGUGUUCGGGUUGUCAUGCCAAUGGCACUGCCCGGUAGCUAAAUGCGGAAGAGAUAAGUGCUGAAAGCAUCUAAGCACGAAACUUGCCCCGAGAUGAGUUCUCCCUGACUCCUUGA